AACGAACUCUGGUAUUGAUUGGUGCUUGCAUCAUGAUUUACAUUUGAGUGAGUGGCGAACUGGUGAGUAACACGUGGGAAACCUGCCCAGAAGCGGGGGAUAACACCUGGAAACAGAUGCUAAUACCGCAUAACAACUUGGACCGCAUGGUCCGAGUUUGAAAGAUGGCUUCGGCUAUCACUUUUGGAUGGUCCCGCGGCGUAUUAGCUAGAUGGUGGGGUAACGGCUCACCAUGGCAAUGAUACGUAGCCGACCUGAGAGGGUAAUCGGCCACAUUGGGACUGAGACACGGCCCAAACUCCUACGGGAGGCAGCAGUAGGGAAUCUUCCACAAUGGACGAAAGUCUGAUGGAGCAACGCCGCGUGAGUGAAGAAGGGUUUCGGCUCGUAAAACUCUGUUGUUAAAGAAGAACAUAUCUGAGAGUAACUGUUCAGGUAUUGACGGUAUUUAACCAGAAAGCCACGGCUAACUACGUGCCAGCAGCCGCGGUAAUACGUAGGUGGCAAGCGUUGUCCGGAUUUAUUGGGCGUAAAGCGAGCGCAGGCGGUUUUUUAAGUCUGAUGUGAAAGCCUUCGGCUCAACCGAAGAAGUGCAUCGGAAACUGGGAAACUUGAGUGCAGAAGAGGACAGUGGAACUCCAUGUGUAGCGGUGAAAUGCGUAGAUAUAUGGAAGAACACCAGUGGCGAAGGCGGCUGUCUGGUCUGUAACUGACGCUGAGGCUCGAAAGUAUGGGUAGCAAACAGGAUUAGAUACCCUGGUAGUCCAUACCGUAAACGAUGAAUGCUAAGUGUUGGAGGGUUUCCGCCCUUCAGUGCUGCAGCUAACGCAUUAAGCAUUCCGCCUGGGGAGUACGGCCGCAAGGCUGAAACUCAAAGGAAUUGACGGGGGCCCGCACAAGCGGUGGAGCAUGUGGUUUAAUUCGAAGCUACGCGAAGAACCUUACCAGGUCUUGACAUACUAUGCAAAUCUAAGAGAUUAGACGUUCCCUUCGGGGACAUGGAUACAGGUGGUGCAUGGUUGUCGUCAGCUCGUGUCGUGAGAUGUUGGGUUAAGUCCCGCAACGAGCGCAACCCUUAUUAUCAGUUGCCAGCAUUAAGUUGGGCACUCUGGUGAGACUGCCGGUGACAAACCGGAGGAAGGUGGGGAUGACGUCAAAUCAUCAUGCCCCUUAUGACCUGGGCUACACACGUGCUACAAUGGAUGGUACAACGAGUUGCGAACUCGCGAGAGUAAGCUAAUCUCUUAAAGCCAUUCUCAGUUCGGAUUGUAGGCUGCAACUCGCCUACAUGAAGUCGGAAUCGCUAGUAAUCGCGGAUCAGCAUGCCGCGGUGAAUACGUUCCCGGGCCUUGUACACACCGCCCGUCACACCAUGAGAGUUUGUAACACCCAAAGUCGGUGGGGUAACCUUUUAGGAACCAGCC
RNAcentral lists this ribosomal RNA (1424 nucleotides) under Lactiplantibacillus pentosus. Its description in RNAcentral is "bacterial SSU rRNA". It matches the Rfam family "Bacterial small subunit ribosomal RNA". The record is from RNAcentral. Lineage: Bacteria; Bacillati; Bacillota; Bacilli; Lactobacillales; Lactobacillaceae.